Non-coding RNA from Homo sapiens (human), 345 nucleotides. The record is from the annotation of a RefSeq genome assembly. NCBI's taxonomy places the organism in Eukaryota, Metazoa, Chordata, Mammalia, Primates, Hominidae.
AUGGGGUCCCAGGUUCACCUCCUCAGCUUCCUCCUCCUUUGGAUCUCUGAUACCAGGGCAGAAACGACACUCACGCAGUCUCCAGCAUUCAUGUCAGCGACUCCAGGAGACAAAGUCAACAUCUCCUGCAAAGCCAGCCAAGACAUUGAUGAUGAUAUGAACUGGUACCAACAGAAACCAGGAGAAGCUGCUAUUUUCAUUAUUCAAGAAGCUACUACUCUCGUUCCUGGAAUCCCACCUCGAUUCAGUGGCAGCGGGUAUGGAACAGAUUUUACCCUCACAAUUAAUAACAUAGAAUCUGAGGAUGCUGCAUAUUACUUCUGUCUACAACAUGAUAAUUUCCCU